UAAAAUUUAUGUACAACUAUGAUGUGAUAAAGACUAUAUCAUACAUCAUACUCUGUUUGCUCCUGACUCAUGUGUUUCAGAUGUGAUUGCCUCAACUGCUUUGUCUUUAGGUCGCAUAUUCUUAUGUACUGUCGUUCCAAAAUAGAAUUACAAUGUUUUUCUUGUUAAUUAGUUUGAGUACGGCUACAUGUUCUUGAGGCUCGUUUCUCUUGGUACCCUUGUCCUGAACUAUGCUUGGACGACCACACAUGUAGAUAAGAUCAGGGAGGACAGUAUUUCAGUUAAGCUGUGAAUGCAAUGGAAAUCUGAAUACAUGAGUGUCAUUAGCUUUUUCCUUCACGUUUAGAUUUGAAGUUUUUUUUACUGUCUCAGUAGUCAGUACUAUAUUUAUAGACCUUUUGCUGGUAGGAAAUAGGUUAUAUUAAUUGUUGCGUGCAGACUGUAGUUCCGUUUAGCAUGGUCCUAAGUUUAUGUCUUCCAUUCUUACAGAGGUAUCCUUAGCAUACCAAUUAAGCUCAUGUUUGUCUCUAGAUCAUAGCUAUACAUCACAGAAAAUCUUGUUAUAACAAGUGGUCCAACCUUACGGCUCUUGUAAAUACUAACUAGCCAUUCUCUGCUUGGUUCAUCUGUCAAACCUGCAUUGUAUCAUUGUAAGGAAUUAUUAGGACUACUUUGACACUAAACAUGGGUUGCACUGAACAUGGUCAGUUCAUGAAAAAGCUCACUGUGUUAGUAGGAUACUUCAAGGAUGGUUCCUCUGUAACCCGUUAAAGCUGUUGUGGAGGCCUGUCGAAAGCCUGUACAUGGUGCAGUUCACAAGAUACAACAUUGUGGGGAAAAACCUGGCAUGGAGGAGGAUAUUCCCUUCUGUACCUACAGCCUAACUUCACUGGCGGAUCUGCCAAGGCCCAGUGCGAUGCCUACACGGUUCAUUGAUGUCAUUGGUAGGAUAACCAUGGUCUCGGAUAUCAUCCUUAUCCAUCCAUGCAUCAUAGUGGCUUCGAAAACAAGGCCAGUUAUGCUCAAGUAUCUGCUAUAAGUUAUUUGGUUUGUUCACUAUGUUCCUUUGUGCCCGCUGUUUUUUCUGAUGGUUUCUAUGACUGACUGCUUGCUUAUGUAUAAAUGUGUAGGGCCAGGAGAUCCAGAUUACCAUGUGAUGGUGCUGUUGAAUUUGACGUAGACAUGGUCCAUGCAGUGUGUGAAAAGGAGCCUCUUAUUCCUAUAUUUGUAGGAACCUUACCCAAGACUGUUCAUGGUAACUACUUUAGCUAUUGCUUCUCUGCAAUCAUGCUGUUUUGAUGUAUCAGUGUUUUUGUAAUUCACAUGAUACGCCGUCUUGGUUUAUUGCAGGUUUUAAGAGGGCUCAGUGGUAGCUCCGCUUGCCGAUGGUAUAAUCAUGAGGAUAUACCCGAUAUCAAUUCCUUCAGUGCUAGCAUGGGAGACUGAGUUCACUCCUCUCACAGUUUAUGCUCCCUCAGGGCAAAAUGCCAUUUAACCCUCUGUGCAUCCAGAUCCAAUUGUUCAACCAUGCUUCAGCUGGCUCAACUUGGUCCUUUUGACGAAAUGAACAAGUGGUUCCACUGUACUGCUGUUGUUGACAGAAUUAUGCCUGAUAAGCGUUGGUGGUUUGCUUCGUGUGGCGCAUGCCGCAAAUCCGCUAGGUUCCUCGGUGACCGGUGCCAAUGCUCAGACAUUAGCUGCACUUCUGGUGGUGCAGACCUAACAUACUGUGUUGGUGUCAUAGCGACCGAUGGCACGACGGAGGCUGAGUUUGUCCUCUUUGACAAAGUUGCGACAGGGGCCAGGGAAAUCUCUUGUGGCCUUGCUGUGGCAGAGAUACCCUGGCCAAGCUACGCUUGAGGACGCGGCACGUUUGGCUGCGCUUGACAUGACUAUCCGACCAGAUUCGAUCAGCUUGUUGGACAGAAGUCUAAGCUCCUGGUUUCCAUAAGAAGAGUCUUUUUUUUUCAAAAUUGGAGAAUUUGUCUUUCCAGAUAAGCAUGAUAGAAGAGACUUAUAAUCCUGAGCUACCGUCAUCUGUUUUUGGUCUCGCUUCAGCCUCCGAUAAAUCAUCCUCAUCCAGUCAGGUUUUGGAGCUGGGUGCCCCUUAUGUGGGUAAUGCUGUGUCGACCGUAAUGAGCCCACCUUGUGGCCUGAGUCUCCAUGAUGGACAUACCUUACCUGCUAGCGGCCAGUCACCCACAAUUCAGCCUCACACGCUGACUUUCCACGGUACCGGCUUGCCCUUCACCUCCAGUGGCAGGCAAGUCAACUGCUCAUAAAUGUGGUCCAAGGCGUUCUCACGGUUCAUGCUAUUGUGAGCAGCAUUUCCUCUUCGCAAGAAACGUUCACAACCCUACUGGUUCAUGCUAUUGUGAGUGUUUUUUAUUGCAGCUCUGCCCAUACUACACAUUCUACAGUUUCAUGGAUGAAGCUGAACUCUAUUGGUGCUAAAGCAUCGAUUUUUACAUUAUAGAUUUUCUCCCAUGUGCAUCUUGACUAGCCUCCGAAGAGCCUGCUCAAGAUUUUAUAAUUUGAUUUGAUAAGGUUCAGCCCUAAUUUUGUGUUACUUAUUCAGUUUGAGUUUCACAGAUUGCAAUAAAUAUGCUUGAUGUGGUUAGCUGUUAGCUAGAAUUGAUGAUCUGAGCAUGUACUAACUUUAUUAUUUAGAAAAAAUAGUGAUGGUAGAUCCCAUGCAGGUAGCAUGUUAUAAUGUUUUUGCUUCUGUGUCAUUUGGGUAUAUAAAUUGUUUGAAUGGCAAGUAUUAUGCAGUAUUUGAGAAACCUAGACAUAUGCUAAAUCUGUAAGGUGCUCUCUUAUUUUGCAAUAUUUCUCUGGCCUCCUCUUUUAAUUAUGAGUGAGGUAUCAUUGGAUUCUUGUGACUAUUGAUCCUAUUUUCUGCAGAAUUGGACAAUCAUGAUACACUCGGUUAAAACCUUGUGAUGGUGCCCCAACUGAUCAUGUUUUCACACCUAUGAUUCAGACAGCAUUUGAACUUGCAGGUAUUUGUGGAAAUGUUUCUCCAGUUAUUGGCAGGGGAGCUCGUGAGGCCAUCAACUAAGCUGGGUGCUUUGUGGCGAGCUUGAUCAUGGACUGACAUGUGAUCAAAAUAUUUAAUUCUCUAUCAGGUACUCGUCUCUCUUUGACUGCCCCAUCUGGUCUUGUUUAGACUUUAAGUCAAGCACUCUGAUUUUCAAUUGUUAAUUGAUUGUUUUCCUGAACACAAUGUGCCCAAUCUGAGAAAGAAGAGCAGAUUAUAGCUGAAGAGUUUGGUGGAGAAGAAGAGCAAGGUGAUUUAUCUCUCUUGUGAACACAAUCAAGUUUAAUCUGAGCAAUUGGUUAAUUGGUGCCUAUUUUUAGUAACUUAAUAUACCUUCUGUAUAGAAAGCACAGAAAAUGUCAUGGGCUGUAUUCAGGCUGUUAUGUGCUAUUCAUGAUCUGAGAAAUAUUUCAUGUAGUUUUCGAGGUUAAGUGGGCCCGCCUUGUGUUUGAUAGUCCAUUCUUGGUUGGUGAAUACUAGAGGCUGGGGCGCCCCUCGGGGGGCCUCCUUGCCGGUUAGGUGCAUUCCAAUCACCACGCAUGAUUCAUAUUAUGCGAUUCGGCUCUGUCCACCUAUCAUCCAGUCAGUAUCUACAAGGUCUUUUACUAUUUUUUAGGUAAUUCAGAGCAAAAAUGUACGGGAAGUGACACUGCUUAUAUGCAAGGUACACAAUAACCCAUAUCAUGUUGGUAUGAAGAAGACACAAAUACAUGUUCAGAACCUGAUGCACUACAUAGCCGAUGCAACAUACAUUACGACGGAGCAUUAUCAGUUUUGUACAUCAAAACAAACAUAGCCUGUUGGUGUUGCGCGUAGAUUCCCUUCUUUCUUCUCCACUAUCAUUUCGUCUUUGCUUUGGCCUCUUUACCUUCCUGUCAUCACUGGAAUGAAGAGCAGGUUCACCUCAUGUUCAAACUGUCACGUAAUCAAUCAAGAAGUUGAUCAAGUGUUAUCGUUUCCUUUAACGCUCUACCUCUAAAUAGUUGGUACAUCUAGGUAGAUUGAUUAAAAAAAUGUUCUAUGAUAAUAUUGAUCAUUUGCAAGAAAUUGGAUGUACCAGUCAAUAUUGAAUAUUCCAGAGAAGUUGAUGCAGUUGCUGUGUGAUUUACUUGCAAGAUUUCAUUCAGAAAAGUAUAGAAAUGCAGUUAAUAGGUGUGUACUUGCAACUCUUUUCUCUCUGUGUUUACCAUGGACAAGAAUGAAUGAACCACACAGUUUGAUAAAUCAGCCCACUUGAGUUGACAUGCUAACUUAUAUGUAAUCUCUGGUCAGAAUGCAAUAGAUCAUAUUUGUAGUGUCAUGCUGACUACCACCCACUGAUGGCCUGAUCUGACAAUUUUCUAACCAGUUGUUGUACAUGACAAGACCUACGUGAUGAAUGAAACACUGGGAAAAAGAAAUCAUAAAUGAAUCUGAAAGUACUGAAUUUUGGGAGCAUUGGUUGAAGUGGGAAAUUACUCCUAUAAAUGAUAGGACGCUACCUGGCCAUCCAGGGCACAUAGUGAGGCGCUUAAGGCAGCUUAUCCUGGCCAUUGAUUGUGGUAGAAACAGUGGGUAAAUAGUAAAUUUGGAUUCACCCUGACCGUUGGAUGUCU
Non-coding RNA from Aegilops tauschii subsp. strangulata, 4635 nucleotides. The record is from RefSeq and is a predicted model, not a curated record. NCBI's taxonomy places the organism in Eukaryota, Viridiplantae, Streptophyta, Magnoliopsida, Poales, Poaceae.